RNAcentral lists this transfer RNA (86 nucleotides) under Firmicutes bacterium CAG:24. RNAcentral describes it as "transfer RNA-Leu(CAA)". It matches the Rfam family "tRNA". From Rfam's summary of the family: Transfer RNA (tRNA) molecules are approximately 80 nucleotides in length. Their secondary structure includes four short double-helical elements and three loops (D, anti-codon, and T loops). Further hydrogen bonds mediate the characteristic L-shaped molecular structure. tRNAs have two regions of fundamental functional importance: the anti-codon, which is responsible for specific mRNA codon recognition, and the 3' end, to which the tRNAs corresponding amino acid is attached (by aminoacyl-tRNA synthetases). tRNAs cope with the degeneracy of the genetic code in two manners: having more than one tRNA (with a specific anti-codon) for a particular amino acid; and 'wobble' base-pairing, i.e. permitting non-standard base-pairing at the 3rd anti-codon position. The record is from RNAcentral. Lineage: Bacteria; Bacillati; Bacillota. RNAcentral also lists the same sequence under 4 other names.
GCCGGCGUGGCGGAAUGGCAGACGCGGCAGACUCAAAAUCUGUUUAUGGUGACAUAGUACGGGUUCAAGUCCCGUCGCCGGCACGA